This is a long non-coding RNA of Pongo pygmaeus (Bornean orangutan), 18414 nucleotides long. RefSeq lists it as uncharacterized. The transcript is spliced from 2 exons. NCBI's taxonomy places the organism in Eukaryota, Metazoa, Chordata, Mammalia, Primates, Hominidae. The record is from RefSeq and is a predicted model, not a curated record.
UGAUCAGUUGGGUGCCCUGUUCCACCCUUGCCUUUGGAAUCACCCUGGAAAGAUUCUUAGAUCUCUCCCAAUCUACUCACGUGGGUUUCCAUUUCUCUCAGAGUAAAGACCAUAGCCCUUGUAAAGACAAUGGCCUAGAAAGUCCUAUGUGAUCUGCUCUCCCAUCUCUACCAAACCCAGUCAGUCUCAUAUCCCUCUUUAUUCUCCCUUGAUCAUUUUGCUGUGGUGACACUGGCUUCUUUACUGUCUCUUUUACAAGUUUUCUCUGCCUUGCCCUCUCCUUUGUUGCCUAGAUAUUUAUGAAACCUACUACUUCUCUUCCUUUAGAUCUUUGUUUAAAUUCCUACUUGAUCAGAGAGGCUUUCUUUCACUGAUCACCCUAAACAAAAUAAGUUGCUCCUAACCCUGCUCCCACCCCCAUGUCCCAGGAUUGCCUGCCUUCUCUAUCCUGCUUGAGCGCUCAUCACCGGGAGCAUAUUAUGUAGUUAUUUGGUUAUAUUUCCUUCCCCUUUAGACUGGACAGGGAAUUUAUCUCUUGUUCUUUGCCGUAUCACCUUAACCUAGUGCGGUGCCUGGAAGUUAGUAAGCACUCAAUAAACAUUUUUUAAAUGACUGAGUGAAUUUCCUAGGCAAACUGGUCAGAAAUAGGCUACAGAGAAUGGAAGAGUGGCUGUACCUGUCAUUUAAUAUGCUCUCAAUACGAUUACAUUUAUUGAAAUAAGAUUUUAUUGGCGAUGAAACAAAAUGCUAUUGGGCAUACAGAAAGGCAUAAGAAAACCAGGCACUAAAUUUAAUAUUAGUCAAGCAAAUGUUCAUAGUUGGAGAAAUGAUUGAAGCUGUGUUAUGUUUUGUUACUGAGUUACAUUCAGAAGGACUGCUGAUCACACGACAAGCAAUGCAACUCAAGGCAGAAGAAAUUGCCAAAUCCCCCAGAACAAAGCAGUGAGGAACUAGUUUGACUGUCACCCAAGACUGUCUUUAAGGCAUUGUGUCAUAGUUAAUUGGCAAAGUUUGUUUCUUUCCUAAUGAUACAUGAAAUAAUGAAGUGUCUUACAAUCAGCAGAGUUUUAGCUUGGAUAAAAUAGGGUGGGUCUCUUUUCUAGAUCUUAGAAUGAUAAAACAAAUUUAUAAAUCUUAAUUUUGCCAUUUACAGUUGUUAGUUUACAUCUUAGUUUCUAAGAUAACAAAUGUUACUCUUCCGUAUUAGUUAAACCAAGAAGGGAGAGGUUUGGCCAGACACUUGUGUAUCAUUUCUUGGUUUCCUUACUGAAUGUCUUUCUCCAAGCAUUAGGUACAGAACUAGCAUAAUUGGGACCAGUUAUCCAGUCGUGAGUUUUGACUUUUGUUCUCAUGAUUAGCUUGAAGAUAAUUUUUUUCAGACAGCUGCUGGUUUGUUUUUCAAAUUUUUUUGAAAUAAUUAUAGGUUCCUAAGAAGUGAUAAAAAUAGUACAGAGAGGUCUCGAGUACCCAUCAGCUAGUUUCUCCCCAUAGUGACAUCGCCCAUAACUAUAGCACAGCUGCAGUUUUUAAUAGAUCAUUUUGUUCUUUUCCCAUGACCUGUUGGAGUAGGAAUAGAGAGAUCAGGUAAUUUCGUUAUGCUCUAAGCCACCUCACUUUAGGAGGGAGUGUUUCUGGUCACAGGUGGUGAGCCCGAAGGCAGAGUUGCUAUAGAGGGACUAAUACAUUGAUUUUCAUGACCUAGAGGAAAUAAUCACUCAGGUUAAAAUGUCUUCAAGAGUUAGUGGCCUGAAGCUCUCCAACAGAGAAACUCUUAAUUGAUUUGUUUUUGCUUCAGCACAGCUUUCUUUUGAAGCAAUCAUUUUAGAGUGAUUUCAGGUGCUCCAAAAAACCUCUUGAAAUAGAUCAACUUAAAGAUCUAGAACCUCAGUUGGAAGGAAUGUGAGGUCAACCUUACCCAUUGGAUAGGGUGAUUUCCCCCUUAAAGACCCAGCCAGGUCACUGUCGCAGUUCUUUUUAAGAUCCUUCUCUGCUUGAGACCUCUGUCCAGUUUCCACAUGAUGGACUUUUCUUACCCACAAAUCAGACAGCAGACAGGUACCUUUGUGCUUUCCUUUUCUCCUUCCAGUUAAAUACAUCUGCGUUCUCAAACCUUGUGGUGGUUUUAGCCACCCACUCCUGACCUCGCUCCUACUUGCUGCUUCUCCACAGGCUGCAGUUUUUUGAUAGCUUGGCCACGUCCUAGAGAGAAGAUAAUGGUGGUAAAUUAAGGGGUGAGCUGAGAGAGGUACAUUAUAGAAAAAAUAUGACAGAAGGUAUUUGGUACAAGAUUAGAAACUAAAGCUCAUUAUUAAAAUUAUAUUCUUCAAGUGAGGGUAGUGCCUUCCUUAUCCCAUUUCUCUUUCCUAUUUCUAUUUAUUUGUUAUCUUUCACUUGCACUUUUGGACACCCUGUACUGUCUUCUAUCCCUUGAAGCCAGACUUCUAGGGUAUGGUCUGCAUUGUGAGGGGCCCUGAUACCCCUAUCUCCUCGGUCCAAAUACUCACCUUUUGUUUUCUACUUCUGCUGACUCUUUCACUACAUCACCUCUCAGCCAAGACCACCACCUCCACCUCCACCUCCACCUCUACCUCCACCUCUAUCUCCACCAUUGUCCUCCACCUCUACCUCAUUUCCAUCAUUGUCCUUGCCCAAAUGCCUGGCCUUCAAGUUGUCUUUGCUGCUGUUUUUUAUUCUUUUCUCUUAUCACUAGAUGAGAACCACGUCAUGUCAGCAUAGUUAGUGACUAUGCUGAGACCAAACAGUCUUAAAUUCAUGUAUACUCAGCAUCAAUGAUGCCUUUGAAAAUUCUGAUUCUCCCCAGAUAAAAUAUCAGAAUGGCAACCCCUGCCCCCUGCCCCUGACCUUCAGCCUCAAACAUCUGGCAUUUUGGGAGCAGAUAAAACCCAUACAGAGUGCCCAAGGACUCUUUUCUUCAGAGGGCUGGAACUCUGAGAAUUUUCCCCUGCAAUUGCUAUUUGAAAUAUUUUUUAAAAAAAGAGAGAGAACUAAAAUAUGAACUGGAAAUUUCUGGAAACUGCCAGCCCCUUGCAAUAGAUGCUGGUCAGGAUGUGACAAAACUGGGUUUGGGAGUAUUAUUUCUACUACAUAGGAAGUUAGUUAAGAGAGCGCUGACUUGAAAGGUAGAAGGUCAAAUACUGCAAUACAAUUAACUUGGCUUAGGUGGGAUGGUAGAGAACCUGAGGGUUGGGGGUAGAGGUAGCCAAGUCACCUGUUCUAGAAACAGAUCUGGCCCAUUUUAUAUGAACCUAAUAUUGAUAUAUCUUUGUAGAUUAUGUAAAUAUAUUUUGACUAAGGUCUCCAAAAUUGUUAAUGUUCUAUAGGCAGACUUAGGGAUAUGCAAACUUGGGCAUACAAAUUGUCAUCCCUAAAGAGCUCAUCAUUACAGAUUAAAAUUUCCAAAUUGAGGAACAUAUAGAAAUAGAGAAGUAAAAGCCUUGGCUUAUUCAGAGUGGUCUUGAAUUUAUUUGGAGACCCCAGUAAAGAUACUAGCACAAAAAACAGUGUUAUAUAAAUAGAAAUGAACUUUGGAAAACCCGACAAUGUGAUAAAGACUCUAUUCUCUGAGCUCCUGGGUGUAGAAUAUUCUGUAAGGGUACUAAUUCAUAGAGAACAUUUGCUUAUCUAAAGAAUAUCCAUACCCAUGUUUAAUAAAGGAAAAAAUCAUGGGUAGGUAACUAAGCGGACAAUGUAUUUUAGCUCAUUUGUGUAGUAAAACAUGUAACAGAAUCUCAGUAGAGUUCAAAUAUGCCCUCUUGACUUCCUAAUGCAUAGACUCCGUUAAAAUAGUAUUUUAGUUGUCCAAGCCUUCCCCCUUAGCCAUUUUACACCUGGUAAUAACUACGUAAAUUCAGAAAAACAGAUUUUAUAUGUUUUGAUCCAUCUUUUUCUUAAUAUUACUCUUAGUAAAUUCUCACAUUGAUGAAGAUCUGCUUAUUUCACCCUAAGGCAAUUCAAAAGUUUGUAUGACAACUUUAUUCUCACUGCCAACUAUUAGGAAAGGAAUGCCCACUUUUCCCUGAGGGCGUGUUGUUGCAUGCAGCAUUCCCAUUGGAAUGCUCUUGAGAGGUUGAACUCAUUUUCUGAGCAAUUGUUUUUAUAAAUUCAGUAUUUUGCUUCCAGUGCUCAUGGCCAGAUAGUGUAUAACCUGGUCUCUACCCAGUAUUAUCCAUGCUGUUUUCACACUUACCUCCAAGGGCCAAAGAUUAUCUCACAGAAGCUCCGAAAGAAUUCCUGUUUCUGAAAUUCAUGUGUAAAAGGAAAUUUUUAAAGGGAAGAGGGUGAUAAUUGAGUUCAAAGUCUGAAGAAUUUUUGUCAAGGAUUAUAUUGAUUAAUAACAAAAGCUCUCUGGCAUUUUCAGGCAGACAUGUGAAAAAAAGUAGUGAUUGUAAUUAAUUUUUAGUGAGUGCCGCAUAUUUGAUAAUUGCUCUGAUUCACGCUAUUAUAUUCCUCUUCCUUCACCCACAGCAAAAUAAGCUUAAUUUGAUUCAUACCCUUAGGAAGAAAAAAAAAAAAAAGCCUAAGAUUACUCACAUGGCUGUGAUUCAGCUCUUGGCUCCCACCACCUCCUCCUCCUCCUCAUCCUCCCUUUCUCCCACCCUGCCCAGUCCCAUAUUCACUCCCACCCAGUGGUGUUGCCAUCAAAAAACUGAGUCAGUUUGUUCUUUAAAAUGGGUGGGGAAAGAAGACAACUAAUAAAAACUUUUCUGAGCGAAGUAUACUGCUUAGAGCUGAAAUCAUUGCAGGAAGACAGGCAGAGCGGCUACUUACAUAACAUGAGAAGCUUGAAACAGAGGCCAGCCCUCAUAAAGAAAUGUUCAGAUUCUUAUAUAAGACUAGUAUGGCUUGUGUGCAUGUCUGUAGAGGCAUACACAUAGCCAUGGAGGCAGGUUUCUAUGAAAAAUCUCUGAUAUUGUGGAUCUUACAUAUAAUGUAUACAGAAAGAAUCUUGUUUUCAAAGUAGGAUACUUUGCUAUAAUCAAAAAGUGAAUAUAGAAGCAAUCCAAAGAUUUUUGAUCAUUGCAAAACAUAGGUGAUAAAGACAUUUUGUUUGCCUUCAAAUGAACGUGUGACUUGGCAGCUUGAGGUUUUUUUUUUGUUGUUUGUUUUUUUGUUUUGUUUUUUGUUUGUUUGUUUUUGAUAGUGUCUUGUUCUGUUGCCCAGGCUGGAGUACAGUGGCACAGACCACGGCUCACUGCAGCUUUGAACUCCUGGGCCCAAGUGAUCUUCCCAUCUCAGCUUCCCAAGUAACUGAGACUACAGGCGCACACCACUGUGCCUGGCUAAUUUUUUUUAUUUUAUUUUUAUUUUUUGUAGAGAUGAGGUCUCACUGUGUUGUCCAGGCUGUUCUCAAACUCCUGGGCUUAAGCAAUCCUCUCACCUCGGCUUCCCAAAGUGUUGGGAUUAUAGGCGUGAGCCACUGCACUCGGCCACAAGAUUGUUUUUUGUUUCUCUCCUGAGGAACUGUAAGGUUAGUACUGAAGGUGACAGCUCACCCUUAGAGAGCUGAUGGUGGUAGCAGACAUAUAGAGGCAGCAGUCUCUGUUCCUUGCUUGUAUUUUUUCGCUUAUUCCCAUUCUUCAGAUGAAGUAAAAGCCUUAGAGAAAUGAAGGGACUCUUCUAUGUCCCCACAGGUAAUAGCCUCAGAGACAGUAUUACAACCCAGGCUGUUUGUCUUUACCCUGACUUGUAACUUUGGUUUCUGGGAGCCUGACACAGUUGGAUCAUUUGGUAUUUUAGAACUUACCCAAGACAGGAGUGGCGGUGGACAGGAAGCUCCAUGCUGGAGCUCCAAACCAGCCUUGAACUGGAACUGUUGAAUCAGGUCUGUGUGCAUCUUCAAACUGGGCUGCAACAUGGAGGGGAACAGAAUGGAGCAUUCCCCCAUCACUCAUUUGUAAUCCCAACCACCCUCUCUUCAUUUUGCUGGCUUUUCCCCCAUUAUGUUACCAUCUGUCUCCAAAACAUUGCCUGGGUAAAAACAAGCUGGAGCAGUUGCUCGCCCUCAAACAAAACACAGAACUACUUCUCCUCACUCCCAUUCCCCCCUACACUAGUGCCGAGCACCAUAUUUGAGGAAUUCCAUAUUUAUAAAGCUUGCCUGCACCUCGAUGAUGUCUGCUUGCUGUCCUUUUUAUUAUUCUUCAAAUAUGUUAUGUGCUGACUGGAAACGAUUAGCUUUUGUUACUGAGGGGUUUGUGGGAUGCUUGAAGCAGCUUCAUAUAGUUCUCAGAUGGAAAUGCGUGCUGUUUGCUCCUUUAAGAAAUGCAAUUUCUUAAUGAAAGACAGCAUAGAGGAGAAUGCAUACUGAGGUUCCCCACCCAACUCUCUGGGUUUCUCUUAGGGUAGUUGUGGUAGGGUUUUAUGUCAUGGCCCUGUGGAGCGAAUAAACAGUGGAUCUUGGGUAUUUUUUUCUGAGUCUGUACCCAUCUCUUCAUGCCUCUGACUAGGGUCCCUUGUUAAUGUCAAGGGCAGAGCUCUGUCCCCAACAGAGCUGUAGUGUUGCCCCCAGUCUCUGACCCACUCACCUUCUUUCCUGGCUGAUGACACUUCCAAUGUCCUGACACAUCUGGGCAAAGUGGAAUUGGAGUUCUUAAAUGCCCUCUCUGGCUGGCCCCAGCUCGAUUCUGCACUGGCCUUAGCAGGCUCCAGGAAGUUUGGAGAGGAAAGACCCAAACAGAUCUCAGAUGUAAAACUGGAUGAGUAUUUCAACUGCUGAAACUUUAGGAGGAAAAUAUGGAUGGGCUACGUGUUUGUCAGCAUUAGUAAAAUAGUUACUAGUGAUUCUUUUUUUUAAAAAGUUAUGGAAUCAUAUUUUUCUCAUUCAGAAGUGUUACUUAGGGAAUGACUGAGAUGUGUAUGACUCCAGAGUUCUCUGUCAGACACUGUUCUCAGCACUUAACAUAGAAUCAUUUUUUAAUCCAGGUGCCACAGCUAGGAACAGCAGAACCAGAAGUCAAAUCCCAGCAAGUCUGACUCCAGAAGCUAGACUCUUCAAAGAUGUCAUAGGUCCUUUUAGAUGCCAGAGUUUUAGAUGUUCCAUUUUAUUCACGUUCUAUUUUCAUAGCCUGUGUUUAUUUCCAUUGAAAGCCAUAUAAUUAUAGACUUUAUGUUCUGUAUCUCAGCAAGGUAACUGUCUUUAAGCCAAUAAAAAUACAUUACUACUGAAGUAUGAAUAAGUUUUAAUAACCGAGAAAUACAUACACAUGGUUAAAGUAGAAUUUAAAAGUGUAAUUUGGAAGUGCUCUCGAAAUAGUUUCGUGUGAUCUUAAUUUCUGAAAAUCAAUUCUGUAUGUAAAUUGAAUGUAGUGUUUAUUCCAGUAAAACCCUGCAGGAAGUCUUUUUAUAAAGUGAAUAAUCAACUCCUGAAUUAACUGUUAGACAUGGUUUCAGUGUGUAUACCUUUUCUGUGCUCUCAUCUACCAAUCCGAAAAUUAGAUAUCUGAACAUUUUUCUGUGUUUCAAAUGUUGGAUGUAUUUCCUGUAUUGUAAUAAAACUAGUUAUCCAUCAAGGCAUAAUCAACAAUAAAUGCCAAGCCUUAGUCAGAGCAGUUGCUGACUUUGCUCAAGGUUAAAGGAAGUAUGCUGAAAAGAGAUAACUGUAGUUAAAUUGCUCAGCCCAAGCCUUCCAGAUUUUUCAUGUGGGGAAUUGCACUUCUUAUUACUGUAUUCUUCCUGUCUACAUAAUACCUGGGAACAAUUUACUCCAUGUAAUGCCACUCCCAUCUUGGUAGUAAAGUUUUUACUGAAGAGGAAGGCUUCUAGGGCAUGUCAGUAUAUUUAAUUGGAAUUUUCACUGGUGAUUUUCAAGUUUUUAUUUCACAGCUUUUAGGCAGGUCGAGACUAAAGGACUGUACAGAUUUGUUGGUGAUGUGAUUGUAUUACGUGUGUGCUGUGUGUGAGUAGCUCAGCUUAGAGUGUGAAUUGCAGUAAAUGCAAAAGUGAAAGCUGCAACAUGGCUCUCAUGCUCCCAACCACUUCCUGAAGAACCCGCCACGCGGGCCCCAGACUUAGAGAUUUGAAUCUUCAGGAUGGAAAGAGUCCAAGUCCCUCAUGGUAAAGACCUCAAGUAAACCUAAAUGUAGAAAACCUGUUCGCUACUCUUGUGUGAAUUAAAACGUUUGGUUGCCUCCAUUGUAAAAAUUUCAGUGCACAAUUCUGAAAUUUAAACUAUUAGGGAACAGAGCCAGAGCGUUGCCAUACCUUAAAAAUAAUCUUGCAUCUCUCCUGUUUACAUGAUUCAAUUCUUGAAACCAGUUGGAAUGUGCAUCCUGAUCUCUAAAUGUACAAGUUAUUUAAAAAAAAUGUGAGCUUGUCAGCUUAGCUACAGCCACCAGUCUAAUAAAACUGAGUCACAUCCAAAUGGGCUGCACUUAAACUACCCUCCCAUUCUAGGGAAAACGUGGCUGGGGGAGGCAGUCUGAGUCAUCACCUGGUUUGUUUGACAUACACUUCCUUCCAUAAAUUGGGAAUGGCAAGCGGCACAGUGUUCUGGGCUUGCCUGGGAGAAGGAGCUGUUGCAGCCUUGCACGAUCAAAAUAGGGCCUUUAGGUUUGAAGGAUGAGGUUGAGCCCAUAUUUUGACUCCAAAUGUCGGGGGAGGGGAGAAGUCGACAGAUCUAAACAAGGAACAUUUGUAAGUACCAUUUUUGGAGGUCGGAGCAAUGGUAGGGGUGUUCACAGUUGAAUUUCUUCCUAGGACAUAAAAGGUGUUUAAGAGACAAAUUGGGGGCAUUCAAAUAAAAAUAAAUGGGUAUCUAGUUCACCAGGUGGGCUCGUUUACUUAACAAGAGUAUCCUUGAUGUGGACAGUUCAAAAUGAUUGAGAGAGAGAUGAUUUGGUAGUUACCAUACAAAUCUGUUCUGACGAUGUUUAAUUUCACUUAAUUUAUUUAACUAUUUUAAAAGAAAUGUAUUUCACUUAGGAAUCUUUUCAUGGCAAAUUUGAAUCUCCUUCAGGGGUAUUUUGAGGGGAUGGGAAGAGAGGCUCGCUCAUGUGUCUCGCACAUUUUCUUACAGCGGUUUUGCAGAGGCUCACUGGAGCUUUUUAGAAUAAAAAAGUUUAGAAUGUAAAAUUAUUGGAGACUAUAGAGGAAGGGGAAGGAGGAGUAGAUUUAUAGCUGAAGUGGGUUUGUAAACUCAGCGUCUGCUUUGGGAUUAUUUUUUAAUAUGUGCCAGACAUUCUUCUGAUUUUCAUCCUGGCUUGGUUGUGGCUCUUUCUCUGUCUGUGUGAGGCUGGGGUGUUCCCUGUUUUAAAGCCGUAGUUGUCGCAGCCUGGGCGUUUUCUGUUUCGGCUUAUGGCUUUUUUUCUCUUUUCCUGAAUGAGUGUCCUUUGUGUAACCCCAGUAAUUCAGAAAUCCUGCAGUCAUAGGGACUGCCCUAUCAUGUGACUUAGGUACUAGGUGCUGGCUGCGAUUGGUCAGCAGCUAAUUGGCGGGUCCCUAUAAGAGGUCUUGGGUCGGGCGUCCGGCCACUCUCCUGCCUGGGCUGCUGCUCAACGGGGGCUGGGGGUGUGUGGGGCGGGGGUGGUCUGUCCAGUGAUUCAGCCACAUGUGAUAGAUGACCAAGUGACUGCUUUCUUGGAGUCCGCACACCAGUGGAAGGCUCUCAAAGUGACUGUGACCGACUUGAUCAAACUCUAGGCUUCCUGAGCUGGAAUGAAAUGCAGAUAACUCUUUAGAAAACUUUUGUAGGAAAAGCGCCUCGUGUGAUCUGGAACAAAGACGUUUUAUAAUCAGAUUUAUCAAGCUGCGAAGAGGGAGUUUUAGUGAACGGAAGCAGCAGCAUUCUGUCACCAGGAAAUACUCCUUUAUCCAGAAUUGGUAAGUGAAAAGUGGCAUUGCUCCCUAAUAGAUAUCAUAUGUGUGUGUGGGAAUUGAAAAAUUGUUCACAGACCCCUAACAACUGUGUUGAACAGAGAACACAUAAACAGUGAGGAGUUCUAAAAAAGAGCAGCACAAGAAUACGGCAUAAAGACUGAGAAGAAGCCAGGUAAUUAACAAAAAUGAGCUGAGUGCUAUCAGUUUAGCUAAACAUAUGUAAUACAGCUAGAUUUGGUUGUUUUAUUUUUUCUUGUUAGUGGAGGAGAAACAUAAAAUCGGAAUGGGCUGUUUAGUAGAAUUGCGACAUUAACUUUCCAUGGAUGUAGAUUUCCGUUUAGUCUGAAUAGCAUGUAUGAAAUUUGAAGGGAUGCUUUCGGAAUUAGUCUUCUUGCCCUCCUUUCCUUUCCUCUGCAUUAAGAUGUCAAGUAUUUAGUUAGAACCUUACAAGAUGAAAGUUGUACAAAAUGAAAGUUCAAGUAAUGCGUCGGAAACACCUCCUCCUGAUUGGGAAGGGUAGAUUACAACGGCAAUAGAUUUUUGUUUUUUGUUUCUUACAUUUGUGUCACGAAUUUUAAGUUUAUUCUAUUUGAUUACAUUAGUACAGCAAAAGGGGGGUUAUUUCUAUCUAUAUGGUUCAUGACAUUUUGAGAGAUCGUGAUUAGUAGUUCUUACUGGUUUCGUAUGCAUGUUCCUGCCUGUUGAAUUCAGUUUUCUGAUCUUGAAUCUGAGCUGCCUUUACGUUAAAGGGUUCUAGAAAAAGACAAUAAAGCUUUGAAUACCUGUGUUAUAUACAACAGGUUCCUGUUCAUGAUGUAUAAGGUAACGCAAUUUUAUUUUAGGGAUGAAUGUCUAAUUUCUUGAUUUGGCUUCUUAAGAAUAUACCGAAAAGGUUGAAUAGAAUAAGAAAAAGAACAUUAAAAAAGAAUGGUGGGUGACUGCCUGAUUUUACUAGUUUCUUAUUGGUCAGUAGAAGUAAUCAUGUGAUGUCUACUUAUAGAAAGAAAUGGAAAAAAUUUUUAUUCUUUAACUGCUAACAAUUAUAUAGGCAAUUUUAGCAAUCUUCAUUUAUUAAUUUGAAUAUAUAAUUAUAACUGUUAUUAACAGAAUAAGUUUUGGGUAAUAUAGGAAAUAAUUAUUUCUUUCUUUUUAAGCCAAAUUGGAAGUUGAAUCUACGUUUGGUUCCUAUUCUGUUACUUUCAAAAUCUUAAAAUCCUUAACUCAAAAGGGAAAAUGUAUAAUAAAACAGGAUAGCAGUGCUGAAAUUUCUCUCUCUUAGCAGUGGAGUGAGAUGAGGGUGGGGGAGGGAGAUGAAUCUAGUGAGAUAUAUUAAUUGUUUUUUCCCCCUCUUGUAUACUUGGAUAACUUUUGAGAUCAUUUUUCUCGGACUAGCAGCUCUCAAGCCUUUUGCAUAAGUAUUUAUUCUUAAAGAAAUAGAAAGACAAGAUAAGCACGGCUCUUAAGGGCAGGUCCUCCAAUAAGUCAGGAAACUGGUGAUCCAAACUUGUGAAUAUGACAAGUCAAUUUGACUUAAUUAAGGAGUGGCAUUAGUUUUCUUGAAGCACAUGAAUUUAUAGGUUUUUAGAGUCUUGAAGACAGAAAAAUGGCAACAAAGCAUUAAGGUAUUUACAGGUAAUUUAUAUUCAACUGCUAGCUUAUGUUUUCAACUCUGUAUUUCAUGUAAGUAAAUACUUGGGGAGAACGUGAUGAUUUAAUAAUCUGGAUAAAUACUGCCAUGCCUGUUGGAAAAAAGCCUCUAAUUUUUAGGUUUUCCUCAUCCAUUUAAAAUCCAUUGUUUUGAAUGACAAAAUGUGAUAGAAGCAGGUUGGAACAGUAAAUGCUAGAGAGUAUAUCCCAGAAGAAUUAACUGAGAACUUCAUGUUUUCAAUUCUGUUUGCCGUUCUCUGUUCUCAAUUUAUUAAUUUUUAAAAGUACAUUGCAAGUGAGUAGCAUUGCUUGCUCUGAAUUCUCCUCUGGGGUCAUUGAGAGUAUUCACAUUUUCGUAUACCCUGUUAAAAGAUAUUAAUGCCAUGCAUAUGCUUUUGUCUUUGUGGGUAUGUAAAACAACCAACUGAAGGGAUCUGGUCAAGAGACAGACCUCAAAAUAGUUUCUCUGAAAUAGUAUUUGAAUUUGCAUGUUCGGGAAUGUAAAUGCUUUCCCUUUGGGCUUGUUUCUGAAGUUUUUGGUGUAGUAUACAGUUUUACCCAAUUAAAUUUUUCUUUUGAGGUCUGUAUAUGUAUGGGUGUCUAUAUUUGAUUUGAAGGGGGAGUUUUAAUCAUUAGCGAAACAAGUGGCUGUUUGUUAGAACCCAGAUAAGCCUCAUAGUGUUGUUCCUAUGACAACUGAGUAGUUGGGUGUUGAAAUGUAGCUUUAAGUUCUUGGUUUGGAAAUGUCAUUCAGACCUCCCACUAUAGUCUCAUUGAGUAGGAGGAUAAUGAGAAGGGGAAAAACCAUGAAGCAACAUAAGUAUCUCCGUUCGUUUCAUGUCUUCCUGACUUGUCUUUGUGUACAGGAUCGCCAUGGGAGUGGUAAACAUAGGUCUUGAACAAAGCAAUACUUCAAUAAAAAAAUACAUGGAAAGGGGUCAGAAAAGUUGGGGAAGAUAAACAACAACACAUGGGGGCAAUAAAGAGGCAAGAGAAAUAGGCUUCCAUGGGUUUCUGCAAAUCCUUUAUCCAGUACUGACCAGCAGUGAGAACAUCUUGAACCAGUUAUUGUAUAGCUCUUCAAGAGCUGUGAAUUUCCUUAAAAUGCAAUGUGGAGAAAAUUCCUUUGGUAGCAGGAUGGUUUACCACUUUGGCAUAACAUUUAUUCAUCUCCCCCAGGCAGACUACAGAGGAUACUGUGUUCUUUUAAGGCACAUGUUUUUAAACCAGUUGUUCAUUUGUCAUUUAAUAGCUUUUGUCUUUUUUCUAUGGGAAAGACAGGUUGUACUAUUAAAAUAGUGAUAAAAUUUAAGUAUUUUAUUCUGUAUUCAAAAAGUGUUUUUGAAAAGUACUUAGAAAAAGAUUGUUUGAGACCUGUUGUUUGUGGAAAUGUCUGUCAAUGGAGAAUCUAUGGAGCACUGUAUUUGAGGAGAGGGAUUGUUUAGACUAAUAUUUGGCAUAGCUUAAUUAUGCAGUUGUUGAUUUUCCAUGUCCGAAGGUCUUCCUAUUUCCUACUCCUAAAUAGUUUUAACUAUUUAUUUGGUUGCUAGAACCUCCUGAAGUUAGAAAGAAAAAGAUUUCAGUGGGGUUAGUCUCUUACUUAAUAAAUAUAUGCCCACCAUCUCUUCUGUAAUCCAAAAAGCUCUGAAAAUCAAAAGAUUUUCAUGUAACAAAUUUGGCAGCAAAUCCUGACCUGAACUGAUGUGAAGCUAGUGAUAGUCUUUGUUUAGCUCGCUCAGAAUGAAUCUUUUUAUGUUUUACUGUAGAAGUAUUAAUGUGUUUGAUCAUGGAGUAUUGUUCCAGACUCUCCUAGAGGUUUAAAUACUAUGUUGAAUAGUCAACCUAUUACUUUUAUAAAAUAAUAAUAAUAAUCAAUCUGAGUGUCAGGUAAGCAUUUGUGGACCCAUAAUUACUGACAUACAUUGAGUUCAUAUUAUAUGCCAGGUACCGUUCUAAAUGAAUCACUGGCAUCUAAGAACAGUGUCUGGCACAUAGUAGGUACUUAGUAGACAUGUUUUGGUAGGAACUGCUUUACACUUAUUAAAUUCUUUAACUCACAAAAACAGUACACAGGAAGUAGUGGAGCCAAGAUUUGAAAGCAGACAGUCUAGCUCCAAUCUGCUCUUAAUGAUUCUGAUGCAGGUACAAGAGAGGACUGGAGAUGUGGCACUGGACUUCUUAACUGAGUCAGAGGGGGUGUUUGAGUGAUUUACUUUAUUCAUAGUCACCCUAUACCUCCUACGAUCAAGAGCUGGUGCUAUCACCACUAUGAUCAUUAACCGGGGCUGUGGUGGAAUGCUUAUAACAGGUUCUCCUGGGUGGGAGUGUAGGAAUUCCAGGGGUCUGAACUCUCCUCACAGGCUUCCCAAGGUGAUCUCCAUCAGUAAAUCAGCCCGACUUUUUCAUCUUGAAAAAUUAAGACAUAGGAAAUAACUCUUUCCUUAACCCUAAGGAAGUUUCCUUGAACAGUGGGAAAAACCUUUCUGUAGACAUUCCUUAGACCCCUUACCCAGCAGGAGGUGUGGAAUCAAUAAAGAGGGCAUGGGUCACCUCCAAGGUUGUGAGCUCCCUGGCUUGGGAACUACACUGGGACACAGCAAAGCCUCUUGGGAGAAAUCAGGCAGCCCAUGGAGCUUCAGCUGCAUGACUCUUUGAAUUCACAAAAGGAUACCUUUAACAGUACUUCUCAAAAAAUGUAUAUAAGGCAUGUCUCAAGUCCCUAUAUGUUUCUAGGGAUAAAAAAAAUUCAUUUCAAACUGAUGGCAACCUCCCCAUUCUAUUCCCCAGCUUUCUAUCCUUCUUCCUGCUUAAUUUUUCUUCUUAGCACUUGCCUCUGUCUGACAUAUUGUAUGUCUUACUUAUUUACUCAUUUGACAUUUUAGUUAGACACUAGCAGUAUUGUUUUCUUUGAAUACAUUUAAAGGUCCUAGAUGUAUUUCUUUUUGAUGUUCAUCUUCUAACUCAUUCCCUCCUAUCAAUCUCAGACUGCUGUAAACAAAUGAUUUUUUUGCCCAUUUUUUUUUUACUGUUAGUUAUCAUAUUUAUUUUUCUUAAACAAGCUGUACUGGUUAUACAGUCUGAAUUUGGAGAAUAGACGUCUUCAUUCAGGAGGGGAAAUUGAGCCAAGUUUGAAUAUAAUCAUUGGGUAACAAAUCCAGAAGAUUAAGUUACUAAGGAGAACAUGCAAAGUAAACACUUGCAUUUUAUGAACUACCUUCAAUUUAAAUAGACAACUGGGUAACUGUAUAUGACAUGUUUUGGGAGCAAGACCUGUUAAACCUACCUACUUCCUACUGUUUUCAUUUGAAAAAUAAAUCAAUUAUUAAACAGUUAUUCUACACAUUUAAAGACUGUAAGUGAUUUAACCUUGAAUAUUUCUUGACUCAAAUUCUUAAAAUCCUCAACUCUAACCUCUUGUUCUUCAACCCCAUAUUUAUUCUAGUUUAUUCUUUCCAACAUAUUUAGGAUAAUCUAAAACAUAAAGUGAAAAAAACCCACAUAUAUUAUUAACUAUAAACAAUGUGGUUAUGUAAAUGCAUCAUUUUAGUUGAUUUUUCUUCUUUAGCCUAGUUCUUUUUUUCUUUUCUUUUCUCUUUUUUUUUUUUUUUUUUUUGAGACAGAGUCUUGCACUGUCACCCGGGCUGGAGUGCAAUGGCGUGACCUCGGCUCACUGAAACCUCCACCUCCUGGGUUCACGUGAUUCUCCUGCCUCAGCCUCCCGAGUAGGUGGGAUUACAGGCGCACACUGCCCGGCUAAUUUUUUUUUAUUAUUUUUUUAUUUGAUUAUUUAUUUAUUUUUAGUAGAGACGGGGUUUCACUAUGUUGGCCAGGCUGGUCUUGAACUCCUGACCUCGUGAUCUGCCCGCCUCUGCCUCCCAAAGUGCUAGGAUUACAGGUGUGAGCCACCGCACCUGGCCUAGACUAAUUCUUAAAGGAACAGAUUAGAUACAUAUAAAAGUUGAAUUUAGUAUGCUUUUGUAAGUUAAUAUAAUGAUUGGGACAUUUUGUUUUCUUAGCUGUGCUUUAUAACAAAAUAGUUCUAGUUACUUUCUUUUAAAUGGUUACUAAAGUAAUAACUUGCUUUUUAAAAACAUAGUAUAACUAUUUAAGGUAGACUAUGAAGAGUAGGCUGAGGUUUCAUUUUAAAUUAUCUCCCCUUUCUGCCAUGGAAGAGUUUAAUUCCCCUGAUGUGCUUAUGGUAUUGAAAGCCCGUUGUUGGUGUUGGUAUUGAAAGAAAGCUUAGUUUUUCUGCGUUUCCUAAAAGGAGAGGGAAGAAAGAUUUUUAAAAGUGAAAAUCCAUUGAUUUUUUUUUCUUGAUUAGGAUUUGUGUAAUAUAUCUGAAGUGGGACUAGAGUUCUUAAAGUUGAGAGAAACAGUAAAUAUGUACACGCCUGGCAAAACUUUGCAGGGAACAUUCAGAGUUCAGAUUACCUGAAAAAAAUAUUGAAAGCUUCAGACAUUUUCCAGAGAGUGUUAGUGUGUGAAAGUGGUACCCAUGACCCCAAGAGGGUGUCCAUUCACACAUCCAUUGAAGUGGUUUACUCCCUAAGAGGCCCAGGCUUUGGAAAUAAGUAGAUUUGUGCUUUAAGCUCCCUUUGCCCCUUGCUAGCUGAGUGAGCUACUCCGCUAUUUCCCUGAGCCCCAGAGUGUAGAGCAUCAGAAGUAGUGCACAGGUUUGUUGCAUGAGAUAACACAUAUAAAGCACAUGCUGUGGAUCCUGGAGUAAUGGUGCUUAACACACUUGCAUUCCCUUCCAAAAUCCCUUUGGGAACAGACUUCUUCAGUUUAGUCCUAAAGCCUGUAGAUCCAUGCUAAGUGAUAUGACUUUUUUUUCACAUCAGAUUAAGCAAAACACUGAUGAUGGUGACUGUCGCUUAUUGUGCAGUUACCAUGUUCUGGACAGGCACUGUUGUAAGGGCUCUACCUACAUAGACCCAUUUUUCCUCAUGACAAACUAUUGGUGCAAUUAUCAUGCCCAUUUCAUAGAUGAACACACAGAGGCACAGAAAGGUAAAGGAACUUACUUAGGGCCACUCAUCUGUCAUGGAACCAGAAUCUAAAUCCAAAUAGGCUGUUUCCAGUACAGAUGGUAAGUACAUGUACUUCUGGCAGGAAAGCAGAAUAAAAGUUGACUGAACCUGAAAGUCUCGGAAAUGGUCUUCUCAUUUCUAUUCUGUAAAGUGUCACGUCUUCUAGGCCUACCUCUCUCAAUAUUGAAAUACAAAAUUAACUUUUUCUGCUUUUUAUUUCACAAAUCAACGGGAACAGUCUUAGUCAUUUGUGUUUUAUGAGUUUUAAUUAGGCCACUGCAGUCCAGGAGGGGAAUUCCUUGUUUUCAGUUGAUCUCAUAUACUAACAAGUUUAAUCAUGUAACUUCCCCUAUUUUUUUCUCUAAUGUCUUCACUUGAAAGUGGGGGUGGGAGGGAGAAGUAUGUUAGCAUUCGAGUCCUAGGAAUGCACCUACAUCAACCUUUCUGGAAAUUCCUUCUUGCUGCUAUAGAAGUAAUCCACAGAAAAGUGAAACGUGUAAGAAUCUGUAUUUACUAAUAUUUUUUUUCUUUAUCUCCAUCUAGUUCUGGAUAUUUUCCGGAGGAUGGGGUAAAACUUCUAGAUAAAGAAGUACAGGAAGCCAUCUAUGUGCAUAAAACCUUAUGUUUGGGUGUGGACUUAAUUUUCAGAAUAUGGGAAAGGGGUUUCACAUUGAGAAUUUCCUCUUUCAGAUGUAGAUUGAGAAUUUUGACUUAGAAGAUGAGGGCAGGUUAUCUUAGCCCGUGGGUUCAGAGUGCUUGGAAAUCUCUUUAAAAAAAAAAGAAAAAUCCCCUGGCCUUGGACUGAGCCUGCUCUUGGGGGAUUUAUUAAUCAUGCCUGCCUUCAUUCUUUCCUUUGUUUGUUCGUUCCUUCCUUUGUUCAUAUUCUCGCAUAAGUCGUUCAACAUCUACCUGCAAAUAGGUGAAAGAAAGGAUGGGGGUGAGAGUCCAUCGGGGGACGGGAGAGGAGUAGCAAUAAACUCACUCUAUGUUCCUUUCACCUCACUGACUGCAUCUUGUAUCUGAUUGUUUGCCCCUUUUGAGACAACGCAUAUUUCGCAGAGAGACACUCAUAACACUCGUGAAGGUCUUCAAGCAUCUUCCUUUGGGAGCCCAGUUUCUUUUUUUAAAGUGAGAGGAGAAAAUGCUUGUGAGGGAAAAACAAUGCAGAGAAAUGGUUUUUCUUUCUUUCUUUUUAAUGUUGGCGGAAGAAGGGUUCAUAGUAGGGAAAAUAUCAGUAAAUAUAAUCUAAGAGCACCCAUGCUUUCAAAUAAUUUCCUUGUUUAAAGAAUAUUAAGUGCAGUGGUGUUUACAAUUAAUGAUCACAACCAGUUACAGAUUGCUUUGUUCUUUCUCUACUCCUGCUGCUUCACUUGCCUACGCUUAUAAAAAAAAAAGAACAUUAAGAGACAACAAAGGCCAUCACAAAGAUGUCUUCAAAAAUAAUUUUAAAAUAGAAUUUUAAUUAAUUUAAAGGUAAGAAAUGUUGCCAUGCCCUCAAUCAAAUUUAUUAUGACUUUUUGAAAAUAUCUCUAAGUAAAUAUAUAGAAAAUGAGGAAUGAAGAUAGGGGAGGGCUUUUGGAAUUUGUACUACUAUUCUUUCAAAAAAUAUUACUCGUCUCCAUGCUGCAGUUAGGAAUACGCUUCCUUAAGACAGAGUCAUUAUCUUUACUUGUUAUUUAAGUCUUGAUAUCACCUCCUAUAGUUUUUGAAAGACAUCGCUCUUCAAGUUUUCUUCAAUGGCACAAACUAUACCUGUGCAUUUUCUGAAACAAGUUUGACCAUACCAGCAAAGGCAAUGAAAAUGCUUUGUCUUUCAGCAUGACAUGUGAAGUCUACAUUAUUAGUAGGUAUGUAUGGCCCAAGGGAAGAAAAUGUUAAAGUAGAUUUAAAAACAAAAACAAAA